GGUGAUGUAGCUCAGAUGGCUAGAGCAUGGAGCUCAUAAUUCCAGGGUCGGUGGUUCGAGUCCACCCAUCACCACCA
This 77-nucleotide transfer RNA is filed under the name Pseudomonadota bacterium. RNAcentral's name for it is "Proteobacteria bacterium (wastewater metagenome) tRNA-Met". It matches the Rfam family "tRNA". From Rfam's summary of the family: Transfer RNA (tRNA) molecules are approximately 80 nucleotides in length. Their secondary structure includes four short double-helical elements and three loops (D, anti-codon, and T loops). Lineage: Bacteria; Pseudomonadati; Pseudomonadota. The record is from RNAcentral.